This 490-nucleotide ribosomal RNA is filed under the name uncultured bacterium. Its description in RNAcentral is "partial 16S ribosomal RNA". It matches the Rfam family "Bacterial small subunit ribosomal RNA", at positions 30 to 507 of the family's 1533-position model. The record is from RNAcentral.
AUUGAACGCUGGCGGCAGGCCUAACACAUGCAAGUCGAACGGUAACAGGAAGAAGCUUGCUUCUUUGCUGACGAGUGGCGGACGGGUGAGUAAUGUCUGGGAAACUGCCUGAUGGAGGGGGAUAACUACUGGAAACGGUAGCUAAUACCGCAUAACGUCGCAAGACCAAAAAGGGGGACCUUCGGGCCUCUUGCCAUCGGAUGUGCCCAGAUGGGAUUAGCUAGUAGGUGGGGUAACGGCUCACCUAGGCGACGAUCCCUAGCUGGUCUGAGAGGAUGACCAGCCACACUGGAACUGAGACACGGUCCAGACUCCUACGGGAGGCAGCAGUGGGGAAUAUUGCACAAUGGGCGCAAGCCUGAUGCAGCCAUGCCGCGUGUAUGAAGAAGGCCUUCGAGUUGUAAAGUACUUUCAGCGGGGAGGAAGGGAGUAAAGUUAAUACCUUUGCUCAUUGACGUUACCCGCAGAAGAAGCACCGGCUAACUCCGUG